GCACACACCAUUUGGAGAAGAGAAGAGUCCAAGCAAGAUGUAGUCGACUUAGUAGAAUAGGGAGAGUGUGAGGUGAGAGUCUUGGCGAAAGCCAAAGUAAAGGAGCGGUGCCGAGUUCUCUCGGCCUUACUCCACUUUGUAAGCCACCUCAUAGGAAUGGAAUAUCUUCGGAGUGAAGUUCCUCGUCUCUCAUCGGUAUCUCGCUAGUCUUUCUCUUUACUUCAGUUACUUGUUUACUUUCUGUCAUUGAUCUGUGGGAUCCCUAGUCUGCGUAAGUAGCAAGCUCUACUUAUUUGAGAGUGCUUUCUGUCUUGCCGGGAGGUAGGAGUACGUAACUCGAUAAUGUUAGGCGUGGUGCCUAGACUUGGUUAGUUACAUAGGGUUGUGUUCCACCCCACGGAACCGUUGUGGUAGUCGGCAGGUGGUGACAGCCAUGUCCGUCCCUUGUAGUCCACCACGUUCGGGUGUUUUCAUAGCAGUAGUUGCAGGUUACCGUUGGACUCCCCUCUCAUCUCUUUCUGAAGUCCUUCCUCUUUCAGCCGCCGAAGCAGAUCAAGAUAGUUUAGUUGCAAGUCUUCCGGAUAAUAAGUUGGCUAACCGACGUUAGACCCUCUACCCACUUAUCUUUCUUCCCCUGGUGGGUCUGGUUGAACUAAUUCUAGGAUUGGUUGAAACUUUACCGUUUCUUGGAUUCGAUAUCCCAGGUAUACUCCCUGGUGAAAACUACAUCGGUCUCUGUGCACUUGCGGAGUAAUUCGUAUAGGCUAAGGAGUGCCAACAAGAUUUCUGGCGCUGCUGCCGGGGAACAGUAGCAACACUAGUCUAGAAUUCGUUCAGCUGUACACCUUUCCGCCCAUCCACAUGGAGUUCUACUCCUAGUUAUCCAGCAGUUCCAUCCCGCGAGUAUUUGGAACGGCCACCAUUCUACCAUCCCCCCUUUUAUCUGAUGGUUACGAGAUCAGUCCCAGUCUCGUAAAUCAUGGUUCGUGCAUAGUCCUUCUCUAUGAGAAAGGACAAGAAUCCCUGCUGGAAUUCAACCAUACCCGGUUGGAACCAAAACACCUUACGGUGAAGCUCUCCCCGUUCUCUCUGACGGGCGAAGCGAAAAUUUAGUACGACCAGACGGCAGGGAGAGCUGGAGGAGAUUGGAUCAACUUGAAGGAUGAAUUUUGCUCCCCUGCUACCAGAGUGUUCCCACUUGGAACAGCAUGGGAAAGAUCUUUGCUGACCGCAAAAUCCGGGACACCUCAUCGUAUCCCGGAAGAUGCUAAAGCAACACCUCGUUGGUUUUUGGAGCCCCGUUUUCCACUCAAACCAACUGAACACCCUAUCAGCUGCAUCCUCUCACCUCCACCACAUAUAGUGGAAAUUACCGAACCAAUCAAGUCCACAAAUUAUGAGCAAUGCAUUGAUGAUACGCCAAUGCUCAUCAUGACCUCGGUCAUGUUUCAAACAUGCCGAAGGAGCAUAAGUGCAUAUGCUCAAGAUCUGAGGCAUUCAUUCUAGAUGCUACAUCACAGAUUGAGGGUCUUACUGUGAUCACUAGCAAGGAAUGGAUAGAGGAGCAGAAUUCGAUUCUUGAAAACUCCUCUGCACUAUUGGGGACGCUGUACCACAAGAGAACUUCUACAAUCCGAAGGAAAUCAUGUCCUUCUCUCGUAAGCACCCGAAGUGGAUCGACGGCCAGAUGAUGGAAAGUAAGGAGAUUUUUCCAUGUUAUGUCCCUAAAGAUGGGGCGUAACAAGAUCUUUCCGGAUUUCCACAUCUUCGAUAUCCCCGAAGGUGAUAAGUUCUCUUGAUCGGUCAGCCAAUGGAGCCACUUGUCAACUCCUAUGGAUUCCGAGCUACUCUUCAUAGCUCGAGGUUGACAAAAAGAAGAUCCCGGUCAGUCUAGUCUAUUCAGGCAAUACAAAAUAUUAGACCGGAGCAAGACCCAAUGGAGAAGGCAAUAAACAUCUCUAAAGAAGAUGCCUUUCAAUUCACUUAGGAAAUAGAUCUGGGCGGCCACCUCAAGCUCAACGAAGAAGAAAAACCGCAACAUUUUCUUCUUGGGCUGAAACCGCUGCCUACUAGGCUGAAGAACGCCUUCCUCCAACAUCAACAAUAGCAUGCCAGUCUUCAUCAGCGACAAGCUGAUAGAGAGUGAGACUUGGCUGCUCGUUGCAGUCCUAGAGAAGUACCGGUCCGUCAUCGGGUAUUCUCUCCAGGACUAGAAAGGGGAUCAACCCCGAUUUGUGCUCCCAUUGCAUUUUUAUGGAACCGGACCAUAAGUCAUCCUGAGAGCACCAGUGAUGGCUGAACAAUGCGAUGAGGAAGGUAGUGAACCAAGAGGUAUUAAUACUACUGCACGCGGGCGUCAUCAAUCCCAUGUAAGACAGUGUUUUGGUUAGCCUAGUUCAAGUGGUCCCAAAGAAGGAAGCAAUCACCUCUGAGUAGAGCGCUCAUAUCCCAGAGGGAAGUCAUCAAGGACGUGUAUCGAUAGUCAACAAGACUAUCUGAAAUGACCACUAUCCUCUCCCCAUCUUUGACGAGAUGCUUGAACGGCUGGCUAAGCACUCAUUCUUCCAAUACCUUGACAAAUAUUCUGGUCAUCACCAAAUUCGUAUGACCAAGUAAGACUACCUUCACUUGUCCAUACAGCACAUUCGCCUACCGGUGAAUGUUGUUGGUCUUUGCAACGCACCUGCUUUACUUCAGAGGUGUAAGAUGGCGACCUUCUCUGACCAAAUUGAGAGCAUCAUGAAGGGUUUCAUGGAUGACUUCUCAGUCCUUGGCAAAGAUUACCUUGAGAAUUUAGACAAAGUUCUCAAAAAUUGCCAAGAAACACACUUUGACCUUAAUUGGGAGAAGUGUCUCUUUAUGGUCAGAGAAAAGCUUGUCCUCGGACAUUGAGUGCCAUAAGACACUCGUUUCUUCACCCAUCAUGCAUCCUCCCAAUUCGAAAUUUCCUUUCGAGACCACGUGCGGUGCAAAUGACUACGCCGUCGAAAUAGUGCCAGGUCCAUGCAAGGAUAAUCAGCAUUAGGACAAAUCUUAUGCAAGUAAGACAUUGACCGGAGCUCAGUUAUGCAACAAUGGAGAAGGAAUUUCAGGCAUUGGUAUUUGCCUUAAGUUCAGAUCCUACUUGGUUGGUGCUAAGGAGAUAGCAUACUCGGAUCCUGCUACACUAAAGCACAUGUGAUCAAGAAGGAAGACAAGCAACGACUCAUCCGUUGGAUUCUGCUCCUACAAGAAUUUGAUCUGGAAAUCAGAGAUAAGGAAGGAGCAGAAAAUUGUGUGGCUGCUCAUCUCGCAAGAAUUCAAGAAACCGAUUGACUUCUCAAGAGAUGAUACUCUUCUGGAGAUCACUAUAUUCAGUCCAAGGUAUUAGAACUAAGUGAAUUUUAUGGAGACUGGAUAUAUAUCUCUAGAUGAAGACAAGAAGAAGUUAUAUUCACCUCAGCAAAUACCACCCUUGGGAGAACCCCUAUCUAUUGAAGUCUGUGCUAUUGGUUUACUCCAAUCGCUGCAUCCCGCUUUGUGAGACACGCGAGACUCUUGAGCGUGCUACUUCUUACCAUAAGGAUGACACUACGGAGUAUUCCGUAUCCAUGCUUAGGUUUGGCAGAAUGCAUAAUUCUAGCCAACCAAGUUUUAAGACGCUAAAGAAUUGGUACGGUGCCCAAGAUGUCAGAUGCUACGCCACUGAAGAGCAACCUUCAGUUGGAAGUAAUCGACAUAUGGGGAGUUCACUUUGUGAGUCUUUCCCUAUAUCAGAGCACGUGCAUCUUGGCAGCCAUGGACAAUUUGUCCAAAUGGAUGAAGCACUUCCUGUGUUGCGGCCGACUCGAAGAAUUCAAAGAAGAUGAUACAGGAAAUCACAUUUCCUUGCUUUGAAUUUCCAAGAGUCAUGUUUGGUAGUGAAGACUCACACUUCACAAGACAAGACCUGCAAGAAGUGUCUCAGCGAGUUGAGAGUAAAACCAUCGGGCUGCUACUCCAUACCAUCCCUAUACCAAUGGCCAGGCAGAAACAUCUAACAAGAAGACCAGAAACAUUCUGCAGAAGAUAGUGAAUGCCAUGGGGAAAGGAUGGAAUAGCAUGAUACCCGAGGCACUCUGGACAUAUUGAACAUCCAUCAAGACACCAAUAGGACAAACAUAGAACCAGCUGAUCUAUGGCAAAACUUGCCAUAUACCAGUUGACCUUAAGUUCAGAUCCCAUGGGGCAAUUAAGAGGUGAAUAAUGGAUCUCCAAUCAGCCAGGGUUAAAAAGAAAAUCCAAUAGGCUGAAUUGGAUGAAUGGAGGAAGAAGGCCUGCCACAGCUCCAAUCUCUACAGGAAGCAGAUGAAAAGAUGAUACGAUAAGCGGACUAAGAUCAAGCAUUUCAAAGUGGAAAAUAAGCUAUUCUUCUCUAUUUCCCGCCUUCAUUUGCUCGGUCUAGUAAGCUUAGAAGUAAGUGGAAAGGGCCUUGUCUAGUGAACCCUCCAGGACAAUGACGGGAAUAUUGAAAAUGUUCCUCAAGCCCAAACCACCGGAACUCAAAGAAAUAGACGUCUUCGAGUUAUCCGAGCUAGAGCCCCUGUCUAUGGUCAUCGCCAGACCUUAAAUGUGCCUUACCCUAGUCUAGGAUAAUGGGUGCCAAUUUAUUUCUCAAAUUUUGUUUCAGUAGCGCCCAGUUAUGUUUGAAAAAAAAACUAAAAUAAAAUGAAAUAAAUGCUUCAUGCUUGUGCUUUGGUUGUUUGGUGCACAUUUGUGUGCCAACCAACCUCCCCUAUUCUAAUAUUUUCAUCAAGUGCAUAGAUGAACAUCAUGAACAACACUGAGACGGACUUCUUGGUAAAGUUGAGCAAAAUUUGAUGCAACUUAAGAUCAGGUAGCUAGAUUAGACCUGUGCCUAACCAAAACAUCGACAUGACAACUCGUCACGGAGGUUUGUGACCCCAUAUUUCUUUUCCUUCCUGAUUUUCAUUCAAAUUAGUUCUAAAUGAAAUAAAUUAAAAUUUGAAUGAAACUCUUGGAAAGAUGAAUUCUCACAUGACUUCCAAAGGUGCCUAAGUUUUAUUUUUUAUGCGAGUACUCGUUACCUUUGGAACUUAUUACAUGAUAGGAUCACUUAAAUUUUUGUUUAUUGACCAUCAUGAUAUAAUGAAAUGAGAGACAUGUUCUUUCUAAUUCAAAGUCUUGGUGUGUUUCUUUAAAAAGCUAAAAAGAGGCAACUCUCAUUCACUUUUAACUAUAUAAAGUCCUAUCCAGAGCCAUACACGAAUAGAAUUGAACCCACAUAGCUAUCUUUUGACAUUUUGAGCUUGAUCAAACAUCAUUGCCUUUCGAGAAAUGUCAUGGUCAUCGAGUACUUUGGUCAUCCACUAUGCAUGUUCAUUAAUAAAGUCCAUCAAAAGUGGUUCACCAAAAGCUCUCCAUCCCCUUGAAAAAAAAGAGUGAGCAAUAAUCUUACUCGAACAAAAAAAAAGAGGACAAAGGGGAAGAAUGGAGAGGCCAAAGUCAAACACCACUCAAAAGGACAUUCAUUCCUCACACACACAUGCACAUGACCAAGUUCUAAAGGUGACAUGAUCUCUCAAAGACAAGAUCUUUGAUCUUGCAAAAUAAAUGACAAAGAUAUGCAAGUUUAUCCCUACCUUGAGCUACACAAAAGCCUUCUUAAACUUAGUAGAGGUUUUCUCUAAAGACCUUAGUGAGGUUCAAACACAAAUUGAGGGACUAAGAGUGAGUUGAAAGAGAUGAGAGCCUACCUCCUGUUUUGAAAAUCUUGCAAAACCUCCAAAUAUAGAGAAAAGGAAGUGAAUCAUGUUCUCCAUCGAGUUGUUCUGGGGAUCAAUAUUCGAAGGUGAUGGUGUUAGCCACCCGGAAUCCAAGGUAUGAGGAAAGUUUAGAAAUAAAUCUUAUGCAUUCUUUGAGUUCAUGAAACCAGGCUUCGCUCUUUUCCGACCUUAUUGCUCGUGGCGAGCAAAAUCUGGCUAUGGGGGUGUGUUGGUGGUCGAUAUUGGUGAUUUUCGCCGCCAACACUCUACCAGAUUCAUGAAAGACAAGCCAUACUCAUGCCAAAUUAUCUUAUAUUAACAAGUUCUAUGAGUUUUGGUGAGUAUUUGAAUGCAGGAACAACAUGUACGAAAUUUGGCCAAAAUGGGAGAAAACCCAGGCCGGCCGGCCUAUCAACCUAGCAAUUCAGGCUCAUCUUUGGCCAGAGUGCUCAUGAGUGCAAAUACAAGAAAACCCAAUGUGAUUUUAUACAAAAUGCACAAACCAAGACCGAAAGGCUUGAGCCAUGACAAGUUGGGUCCACAUGCAGUGAGCAAAUUCAGAACAAGUCCUAAACCGACUUGAGGAGGAAAAUACAAGCGUUGAUUGGCAUGUCAGUGGAACGGAGGGUCGAGGGGGGACAACCCCAGGCCGGCCGGCCUAGGCCGGGCCGCCCGGCCCCUAACUGCCUCGCUUCGGACCAAGCCAAUGCAAUUGACUUCAUCAGGCAAUCAGGAGUGUCCACAGAAAGGCAGCACAAAUUUGACGGAGAUCCUAGGCCGGUCGGCCUAGGGGAGGCCGGCCGGCCUGGCCUUUUUGCGCCACAUGUGCAGCCUUUUAGAGGGAGUUACAACCGUCAUGUGUGCAUCCCACAAGUGGAAGUUACAACCGCCAUGCAUGUGUGGACAGCUUUGCUUUCAAGCCAAGCCAACCUUAGCUUAGCUUACAAGCUAAGCAACCUUAGCCUUGCUUACAAGCUAAGCAACCCACCUUGGAGGCCUAUAAAAGGGAGCCCCCACCUCUCAUUCAGCACACACCAUUUGGAGAGGAGAAGAGACCAAGCAAGAUGUAGUCCCACUUAGUAGAAUAGGGAGAGUGUGAGGUAAGAGUCUUGGGGAAAGUCAAGGUAAAGGAGCGGUGCCGAGUUCUCUCGGCCUUACUCCAUUUUGUAAGCCACCUCGGAGGAAUGGAAUAUCUCCGGAGUGAAGUUCCUCGUCUCUCGUCGAGAAAGAAGUCACACUGGUGCAAAAAUACAGAAGCUCUUGGCAAGCUACCUUUACUGCCUACUAGAAGAAUUUGUGGACAUGUUGGAGUUGCUCGUGGAGCUGUGUCCUUUAAGAAUAAGUUUUAAGCUCUAGCGUAGUUGUUUACAUACUAUGUUAUGUUAAUGUCAAGACACUGUCGGUUAACAAUCUACCUUUCUUCUGGAGCUCUCAUGUGAUCACUCACCAUUUUAAUACGGAUUACAUAGUACUGUCCUACCUAUUCUUCCUGUUGUUGUUAAUUCUGCCUCUCCUUUCUUUCUCCACUGCUGAAUUUUGAUGUUGUUAUAUAUGGUUGGCAUUUAUUGUUAUGCUGUCCAUCUGAGCCGCUGAUCUUCCUCUGCUACGUAAAUCAAACAGGUAUAGAGAAUGAACAUUUUUAGGAAAAAUGAAUGCAAUACAUUCUUUUUUGGGAGUCUUGGAUUACAGGCGUUAAUCUGUCAUCAUGCUCUUAUUUUACCCCCUUCCCCUUCUCUAUGCUUUCUUUUUCUGUUCUCACCUUUUGAGGACAGUAAUCUGUCAUGUUGUUCUUAUUUUACUCCUUUCCUCUUAACAUGCUGUCUUUUUUGUUCUCUCCUUGUAAGAAAUAUUGACUCUAGUGUUUCCACUAACGUUUCCUUAGCUGAGCUUGAAACAUCUUUCUAGGGGUUGUUGAUGACAUGGAUUAGAAAAGCAUGCAUUCUAGCUCUUGGGCCACUUUCAUUAUUGCUCUCCGACUAACUUUUGUUUGGGUUUAAUAAGGUUAGUUGUGUGGAAUGAUGAGCCCGUGGGGGCAAGGGAAAGGGCAAGCGUGGACAAUCAUGAGAUCUCAUCUGAUUUAAGCAUUGUUGAAUAUGACCACUUCUUGUGUCGGGCCUUAUCAGAGAAGUACAUUUCCAUGGCCAUGCCUGAGAUUUUUGUGGUGCUAAAUGUGGGGAUAAACGAUAUUUAAUCAGUGGUCCGGAACAGCAUGAGAAAUCCAUAGGGAAGGAAUGAAGGUGGCCUAGCCUAUCUGAAUUAGUUGGAACAGAAGAACAGGACCAGCCACAUGCGUGCACAUGGCUUAGAGACCCCACAUCUGCAUGGACUUCCAACUGGAUUUGGAUAUGCAUGUAGCUGCAAACAAAACUUGAUUUGCUGUGUUAAAUCUGGUCGAAAAGUAAUCUGUACACUGAAAAGGAAAUGAAGUUUUUAUAGGUGAAGACCUAGUUCCUUUGCUGUGUCUGCAUUUUGAAUUUUGAGCAUCUAUAGUUUUUGUUGGUUCUGGUUUCCAUUGCUAGAGGUAGAGAGGUUUUGAGUCAUUCUGUGUUAACCUUUGCUGUGAAGUAUUUGAAUCCACCUUUCCUGUGCAGUGGCAGUGUGGCACCCACCCACAUCAGAAGUUCAGUGAGAGAAUAAAAGGAGAUACUUGAACUGAUUGCGCUGAAAUAGUGAAGCCUCAGCAGUGCAGAAGGCCUGCCCUUUUGUGGUUGUGAUAAAGGGUGCUGAUCAUGUGAAGGGAAGUGCUGACGAUGGAUAUGUUGAUGGUUCCAGGCUAAUGCCAAGCACAUGCUACAUGGGCUGCGACUUGUCUAUGGUGGAUAGUCCAAAUCAUAGCAUCGCAGGGACACAUGCUCACACAUGGAUGGGCUCCAGGUGCUGCAAUAAAGCCACGCAACCCCUCGGAGCUGUAUCAUUAAGGUAAAGGUGUCUUGAUGCCACUUUAUUAUGAUGGUCAUAUCAUUGUACGCGCACUAAGCGGUUGUGUGUUGAUACCAGAUUACUUCUGAGAUACUUCUAAUUUUCGACAAGAUUGGUUAUCGAGCUUGCAAAAGAUAGGGGCAGUACGAUUGUCGUCCGUGCCUUUAAUCCUGUUUGGCUGCAUCUUUAGGCAGCUGUGCGGCUUGAUGUUCCCAGGAUACAUGCUUGCUAAGUAGAUGGUUAAUCUGAGCCAAGUUGAUUUGCUGCCAA
This is an RNA transcript of Panicum virgatum (switchgrass), 8933 nucleotides long. It is a transcript of the gene named forkhead box protein L2-like, with no coding region annotated. Lineage: Eukaryota; Viridiplantae; Streptophyta; Magnoliopsida; Poales; Poaceae. The record is from RefSeq and is a predicted model, not a curated record. The transcript has 4 exons.